This 743-nucleotide ribosomal RNA is filed under the name uncultured bacterium. Its description in RNAcentral is "bacterial SSU rRNA". It matches the Rfam family "Bacterial small subunit ribosomal RNA", at positions 8 to 796 of the family's 1533-position model. The record is from RNAcentral.
AGAGUUUGAUCCUGGCUCAGAGCGAACGCUGGCGGCAGGCUUAACACAUGCAAGUCGAGCGGGCGUAGCAAUACGUCAGCGGCAGACGGGUGAGUAACGCGUGGGAACGUACCUUUUGGUUCGGAACAACACAGGGAAACUUGUGCUAAUACCGGAUAAGCCCUUACGGGGAAAGAUUUAUCGCCGAAAGAUCGGCCCGCGUCUGAUUAGCUAGUUGGUGUGGUAACGGCGCACCAAGGCGACGAUCAGUAGCUGGUCUGAGAGGAUGAUCAGCCACAUUGGGACUGAGACACGGCCCAAACUCCUACGGGAGGCAGCAGUGGGGAAUAUUGGACAAUGGGCGCAAGCCUGAUCCAGCCAUGCCGCGUGAGUGAUGAAGGCCCUAGGGUUGUAAAGCUCUUUUGUGCGGGAAGAUAAUGACGGUACCGCAGGAAUAAGCCCCGGCUAACUUCGUGCCAGCAGCCGCGGUAAUACGAAGGGGGCUAGCGUUGCUCGGAAUCACUGGGCGUAAAGGGUGCGUAGGCGGGUCUUUAAGUCAGGGGUGAAAUCCUGGAGCUCAACUCCAGAACUGCCUUUGAUACUGAGGAUCUUGAGUUCGGGAGAGGUGAGUGGAACUGCGAGUGUAGAGGUGAAAUUCGUAGAUAUUCGCAAGAACACCAGUGGCGAAGGCGGCUCACUGGCCCGAUACUGACGCUGAGGCACGAAGCGUGGGGAGCAAACAGGAUUAGAUACCCUGGUAGUCC